UUUCCGUAGGUGAACCUGCGGAAGGAUCAUUCAUAAUAAAGUGUUCUAUGGCACUUUUUAAAAAUCCAUAUCCACCUUGUGUGCGAUGUUAGAUCUCGUCAAUCUUGGCGAGAUUUUUAUACAUCAACUCAUUCUUUAACUAAUUUGUCUGAAAAAUAUUAUGAAUACUUAAUUCAAAAUACAACUUUCAACAACGGAUCUCUUGGCUCUC
Molecule: unclassified non-coding RNA, 211 nt
Filed under: plant metagenome
Description: partial contains small subunit ribosomal RNA, internal transcribed spacer 1, and 5.8S ribosomal RNA
Source: RNAcentral